Molecule: ribosomal RNA, 592 nt
Filed under: uncultured bacterium
Lineage: Bacteria
Description: bacterial SSU rRNA
Rfam family: Bacterial small subunit ribosomal RNA
Source: RNAcentral
CCUACGGGAGGCAGCAGUGGGGAAUCUUGCGCAAUGGGCGAAAGCCUGACGCAGCAACGCCGCGUGCGGGAAGAAGGCUUUCGGGCUGUAAACCGCUUUCAGCAGGAACGAAAAUGACGGUACCUGCAGAAGAAGGAGCGGCCAACUAUGUGCCAGCAGCCGCGGUGAUACAUAGGCUUCAAGCGUUGUCCGGAUUUAUUGGGCGUAAAGAGUUCGUAGGCGGUCGAGUAAGUCGGGUGUGAAAAUUCUGGGCUCAACCCAGAGACGCCACCCGAUACUGCUUGACUUGAGUUCGAUAGGGGAGUGGGGAAUUCCUAGUGUAGCGGUGAAAUGCGCAGAUAUUAGGAGGAACACCGGUGGCGAAGGCGCCACUCUGGAUCGAUACUGACGCUGAGGAACGAAAGCAUGGGUAGCAAACAGGAUUAGAUACCCUGGUAGUCCAUGCCGUAAACGGUGGGCACUAGGUGUGGGUUUCUAUUAACGAAAUCCGCGCCGUCGCUAACGCAUUAAGUGCCCCGCCUGGGGAGUACGGUCGCAAGACUAAAACUUAAAUGAAUUGACGGCUGAGACGNGCGAGACGACACGAGGAGAG